UUAGAACUCACAGCAAAUCCUAUUAAAAAUAGCUGUAAAGAGUUGUCUUGGAAGAAUUGGUCUUAAAGUCAGUGAGUUUAAAUAAGUGACUAAUGAAUGCAAGUGUUUGAUUAAAUCACCAAUUUUAGUUUUCUAUAUUUGUACUACUCUGACUUUUUUAUGUGUUGAUUUGCAUUUGCUGAUGUGACUUAGCAUUUUCUGUGAAGAUGGGGAUUGUUGCCUUUAUGCAUAAACUAUGUAAUAAUCAUAAUUUUUAUAUUUGACAGGUGUAUUUUCCAAGAUUUAUUUUCUGUUUGGAACAGGCAGGAGAUAGCAGAUAUGGGAAGGAGCAAAGAAAUAUCACCAGGCUGUGCAAUGUUGUGUGAUGGCCUGCUGUCAGUCCCUGCCACCAAACAGGAAUCACAGAGGUGGCAUUUUCCCAGGUAAAGCUUGUGUUUUAAGGAUACCUACAGAUUAUCUGGCACAAACAGUUACCAAACAUAGAGGAGGGAAGAGUGAACAUGCUGUCCUGAUGAAACCCCAGUUCUGGCAAGCAGCUGACUCCUGAGGUUCCUGGGAUUAUGCAGUGACAGCCUGCCUUCUUCUCUUGACCUGCCUGCCUGAUAUUUGAAGAACAGUGGGUUUUGUUUAGCAGUUUUAGCUGCAUCAGCAAUACAUGACCUUCACAUCCUCCUUCCCAGCAAAUAAACUGUUGCCUUCAUCUGCUGCUUGCAGCUUUUUGGAAUGAUUCUGCAGCUCUCUUCUGGUUUCUAUCAGCACAUUGCUCUUCAGGAGGUCCCUGAGAGCUGCAGAUAAGUAGUUCCUCCUCCUGCAGCCCUGCAGGAAAGGCUGCUGGCUAUGUAAGAACUCUAUAUUUCAUACUUUGUUCAGAGGGAUCUUUUUUGCAAUCAUAAGUGUGCCUCUUAAGCUUUCAGAUGUUGUUAAGAUGGGGAAAAUGUGUCAUUCCUCAGUGUGAAGGCACAUAUUUUCCUGACUAUCCUCAGAGUUCCAAUAUUACUGCUGCAGGACUGUAAAGCUUAUAGUGAGUGUUUAUCCAGCAACUCUCUGCAAAUAAUUUAAGAAUAAAUACUUCAAAAUCCUUUCUACUAAUGUUCCUAAGUCUCAGUGGAAAAAUUUAUUUGAUUUUUUUUUUUGUGGUAGAUCAAACCCACAAAUAUUAUUUUGCAUGAGUUUAUAAAUGUAAUACUUAAAGAGCUCUUAAAGAGUGGCUUGCCUAGCUGGACAUGAAUACAAAUAUCUUCACUCAAGUCAAGAAAAUUCCCUGAAAAGUAUGCUGUUUGAAAGGAUGAAUCAGAAUAAGCCAUCAGUGACCCUAGUGUAAGUCAGAAUUGGAUGACACGGACUUUUUUGCAGAAUGAUGCACAGAAUUUCCUGAAGUUGUUAUCCAUUAUUUAAAAUGCAUGCAUGGGGCAUUGCAAAAGCAAGCUAACUUUUUUGGAAGGCAGUAUUAAAAAACUUCCACAACUACUGGUUUUGUUUCU
This is a long non-coding RNA of Passer domesticus (house sparrow), 1481 nucleotides long. RefSeq lists it as uncharacterized. The transcript has 2 exons. Lineage: Eukaryota; Metazoa; Chordata; Aves; Passeriformes; Passeridae. The record is from RefSeq and is a predicted model, not a curated record.